RNAcentral lists this ribosomal RNA (450 nucleotides) under uncultured Glomeromycotina. Its description in RNAcentral is "SSU rRNA". It matches the Rfam family "Eukaryotic small subunit ribosomal RNA", at positions 569 to 1024 of the family's 1831-position model. The record is from RNAcentral. Lineage: Eukaryota; Fungi; Glomeromycota.
AGCAGCCGCGGUAAUUCCAGCUCCAAUAGCGUAUAUUAAAGUUGUUGCAGUUAAAAAGCUCGUAGUUGAAUUUCGGGGUUAGUAGGUUGGUCAUGCCUCUGGUAUGUACUGGUCUCACUGAUUCCUCCUUCCUGAUGAACUGUAAUGCCAUUAAUUUGGUGUUGCAGGGAAUCUGGACUGUUACUUUGAAAAAUUAGAGUGUUUAAAGCAGGCUAACGCCUGAAUACAUUAGCAUGGAAUAAUGAAAUAGGACGUUCGAUCCUAUUUUGUUGGUUUCUAGGAUUGACGUAAUGAUUAAUAGGGAUAGUUGGGGGCAUUAGUAUUCAAUCGUCAGAGGUGAAAUUCUUGGAUUUAUUGAAGACUAACUACUGCGAAAGCAUUUGCCAAGGAUGUUUUCAUUAAUCAAGAACGAAAGUUAGGGGAUCGAAGACGAUCAGAUACCGUCGUAGU